This is a non-coding RNA of Paramuricea clavata, 279 nucleotides long. The record is from the annotation of a GenBank genome assembly. Lineage: Eukaryota; Metazoa; Cnidaria; Anthozoa; Malacalcyonacea; Plexauridae.
GCUGUAGCAAAGAAAAGGACAACAAUCGUACAAGGAUGGACUUGUGACUUUAUACCGUCUACCGCUAUGUUAUGAAAGCAAAUGAAACGACUUGCUUUUCUUUAAUAAGGGUUUGUAUGGACACAUUGAUAUGGAUAUUUCAACUUUGUUUCUUUUGUUACUCGCGGUGUACGAGUGAAGUGAGAACGCUAAAAACACCAUACUGUCGAACCAGCACGUUGCAGUCAUCAUAUUUCAAGUCAUCAUCAUCAAGCUUUGGAACCACAUCAUUCUCGCUGC